RNAcentral lists this long non-coding RNA (4117 nucleotides) under Sus scrofa (pig). RNAcentral describes it as "lncRNA (ENSSSCG00030072017.1)". Lineage: Eukaryota; Metazoa; Chordata; Mammalia; Artiodactyla; Suidae. The record is from RNAcentral.
GAAUAAAAAACCAUCCCUUCCCAGGAGCUCACAAACUAGCAAAAGAGACCAACAAACCCUGUACAAUGUAAUAAGCAUUAUCAUAAAGUCAAGCACAGGGAUGAUAAAGGGGUAUGAAAGAAAAUUUUAACCUAGCCCAGAGGAAAAUAUGUUGGGGGGAGUCCACAGAGAGAGUAGCUUUUUAGAGAAGAUCAUAUUUUAUAGCACAUAUUACCUUUUAAUAAACUCUGAGUCUCUAAUGUGUUGAAAUAAAAUCAAGAGCAAUUACAUUUAUCUAGAUCAGUGCUGUCCAAUGACGAUCAUUGUACUACAAUAAAUGUUAUUCAUUCAGUAAUAAAAAAAUAUGUGAUCUACAUAAGUAAUAUAAAAUUUUCUAGUAACCAUUCUAAGAAAGUAAAAAGAAACAAGUAAGGGAGUUCCUGUUGUGGCUCAGUGGGUUAAGAACCCAACUAGUAUUCAUGAGGAUGCGGGUUCAAUCCCUGGCCUUGCUCAGUGGGUUAAGGAUAUUGCAUUGCCAUGAGCUGAGGUGUAGGUUGCAAACACAGCUUGGAUCCAGCAUUGCUGUGGGUAUAGCAUAGGUCUGUAGCUGCAGCUCAGAUUUGACCUCUAGCCUGAAAACUUCCAUGUGCCUCAGGUGUGCCCCCCCAAAAAAAGAAACAAGUGAGAUUAAUUUUAAUAAUAUAUUUAUAUAUAUAAAAUAUUAUUUUGAAAAGUAAUCAUUAUAAAUUAUUGAAAUAUUUUCUAUCCUUCCAUACUAGGUCCUUGAAAUUUACUGUCUAUUUUAUACUUACCACAUAUCUCGAUUCAAACUAGGCCACAUUUUAGGUGCUCGAUAGCCUGGCUAGGAACUAACAUAAUAGCUGACAUAGAUCUAUUUUGAACUAAUGGUUCCCAAUAUUUUUAACAAUGAAGACCUCAUAAAAUAUUUUGAGGAUAUCCACAUUAUAGUUUGACACUUUUUUCUGGCUAAACCCAUGAAUAUGCAGAGAAGUUCCUGGGCCAGGGAUCAAAUCCAUACCAUGGCAGUGACUGGAGCCAUAGCAGUGACAAUGCUGGAUCCUUAACCCACUAGGCUACCAGAGAACUCCAUUUGACACUUUUAAUAUCAUCAAUUGAUAAAUCAUAUUGAAAAAACUCUUUUGAGUAAGUUUAACAAUGCUUUUCCAUGUAUAUUUAUUUUAUGUAAUAGUGCUUACGUGUUUCUGGAAAAUGGUACAAUAGGAUAUGGUGUUACAUGGUACCAUAUCAUAGUAUAAUGUGACACAAUAUGCUUAAGCCAAUUUGAAUUGGAUUUUGGCCUGACAAAACAUGUGGAUCACUAUUUUUAGGCAUGGCCUAAGUUAUAUCGUACCCACAGCUAUUACAGUAAGAUCAAUAAAGCUAAUAGAUGAGAACUUUUUGAGAGGUUCCUUGCAGAAGUAAUUCAAAUAUCCUAGUGCAAGAUAAUUGCUAAAGAACUUCCAAGGUCUCUUCCAGUUGAUGAUGGUAGUUAAUAUGGGUUCUCCUUCCAACUCUUUCACUAACCGGCUACGAGACCUUUGGCAAUGAGAACUUAACCUCUCUAUUCCAUCUUUAAAGAACAAAAACAACACCUACAAAAUAUUUGCAUUAGCUAAUUAAAUCCACACCACAAUCCCGUGAGAUAUUGUUGUAUUAUUCCCAUUCCAUGCAGACGCACUCACAGAGAUGUUCAAUAAUUUGCCCAAGAUUACUCAGUUAUAAUUUGAAACCGAAGCCUGCACUUUUCAUCUCUCUGCUGUACUGCCUUUCUUAAGUUACAGUGAAUCUGAAAUGAGAUAAUGUGCAUAGACACUUAAUACAUGAAAGUUCAGUGUGUUACUUUAUUAAGUCUAAUGCCCCUAUUUGUACCUUUUAAAAAUGCUCUUUCCUAAUUUGAAAUGCCUUCAUCAUUCAGAAAUUACUUCCAAUUCUAACCCCCUACAUAAAUCUUUUUUUAAAUUGGGUUGAUGGCUCGUCUUUAAAAAUUCCCUUUGAUAGGAGAGCAGAAUUUGGCCCAUGAUUCUCUAUCAAUGGUUAUGCCUUAGCAUUUCAUCAACAGUGGUAACUAAGGAGGAGGAAAUUCUCUCUCAUGUGUCACUCUCACUCAGAGUCAGAGAGUCUUUUAUUCACUCAUUUAUUCAGUAAGGGCCUUUUCUACAUUAGGUUCUAAGAUAGGUGCUAGAUGUGUGCUGGUGAACAAAGCACAAGUUUCUUUUAUCAUGGAAAUGUUGAUAACAUGACAUUAAAUAAAUAUAUAAAUACAAAUUGUGAUAAAUGUCAUGAAGAAAAAGAACAAAGAGGGCAUUAGAAAGACAAUCUUAACGGAUAUAAUUUAGAUGGAGGAAGUCAGAGAAGGCCUCCCUGAGGAAGUAACAUCUAGUCUAAGUUAAGACCUGAAGAAUGAAUAGAAAUUUGUCAUGGAAAGAGUGAACGAAAGAACAUUCCAGUCAAAGACCCUGAGGCAAAAGAGUUUGUUACGUUUAGUAACUUAAGAAAGUCAAGGUAGCUGGGAUAUAGUGAGCAAGAGGAAAGUGAAGAAUAUGAGGUUGAAAACUACGCAAGGCCAUGUCGGAAUCUGUUAUUUACAGGUAUAUUGUGAAAUCUGAAAAAUACCUAUUGUUUGCACAGUACAAACUCCAGACAUAGACCUUGCCUAUUUCUUCUUGACUAGAAGGGUGGGGGUUGGCACAAUUUUAAAAAGAAUAAGUAAUUCUGACCCACUAAUAUUCUGUUUCAAGGGUACUAAUGUUCCUUCUAAAAGAGUGAAUUCCGGAGUUCCCGUCGUGGCGCAGUGGUUAACGAAUCCGACUAGGAACCAUGAGGUUGCGGGUUCGGUCCCUGACCUUGCUCAGUGGGUUAACGAUCCGGCGUUGCCGUGAGCUGUGGUGUAGGUCGCAGACGCGACUCGAUCCCGCGUUGCUGUGGCUCCAGCGUAGGCUGGCAGCUACAGCUCCGAUUGGACCCCUAGCCUGGGAACCUCCAUAUGCCGCAGGAGCGGCCCAAAGAAAUAGCAAAAAGACAAAAAAAAAAAAAAAGAAUGAUUGAAUGACAUUUGCUGUGAUCACAAAGGAACUUAAUGACUAAUAGUAUCAAUAUCAGGAAAUGAAUAUAAAGAGUAGAUAGAAGUUAUAAUGAGCAUAACCUAUGUAAAUUAAGCCCACUGCAAAGUUGUGAAUUGUUAAUACUUAUUAUAUAUUGUAUAUUGAGGUUUAAAUUAUCUACCUUAUUCUGGGAACUGAAGGUCAGGUUGGAUGGGGGCUGAAGUUGGAGAGAAUCAAAUGGAUUAACGCAUGUCAAACACCUAAAAAUAGUGCCUGACAUAUCAUCAGCAAAUGGUGCUACCAUUACUAUUUACAGUGAUUUAUUUUUCCCAGAAAAAAACUUCAAUUUAACUAACACUUAGGGAAAUAACAAAAUAUUUGAAUAAAUAAGUUGGUUAUGUUAGUUAUACAUAUACUACCAAUAUGAGAAAUGAACAAGAGUUUCACAGUGGAGGUGUUGCAAAGCUCAAAUAUUAUAUGUAGUGUGCAAUAAGAAUGAAACAAAAAACAGAUGUUGUGAAGAGUAUAUACUAUCCAAAGAUUUAUCUUAUUACUGACUUACAAAUCACCUAAGCAAUAUUACAAUUAAGCCUCACACAGCGCAGUUAGCAUGAAACUGGAAAACUAAAUCUUCUAACAAAGAGGCAAAAUCAAGUGCAUCCCAAGUAGUCUCCUAGCAUCAGAACGAAGAGAUGGAAUCUCUUCCUCCUUGCUUGCUUCCUAAGCUUUCUCUCUGCAGAACUCCAAGAAACACCCAGAACUGGUUUAAGUGAUUGGCCUUUGUUUGUCUCUGUAGAUUAUUCACAAUUACAGUGUUACUUCUGGUUUCAAAGCCCUCAAAACUCUACAGGAUAGAGAAUUAUGAAUUGGACAUACUGAGUACCAAAAAAUAAUGCAAGGGAGGAAAUCCUUCUGCACUGGCAGUAUAGAAAAAGCUGAUUUAAGAGAACAAGCUGUUUGUUCCAAACACUGCUAACCAGUGUACUAAGUCCCAGAAGCAGUGACAAUAAAAUUAGGGGCUUUUCCCCAUGGGUAGGGCAGGCAUGAAACUUCCUAAAUGAAUCAACAGACAAAUG